Lates calcarifer (barramundi perch) is the source of this 1379-nucleotide long non-coding RNA. RefSeq lists it as uncharacterized. The transcript has 3 exons. Lineage: Eukaryota; Metazoa; Chordata; Actinopteri; Centropomidae. The record is from RefSeq and is a predicted model, not a curated record.
UAAUGCCUGACAAGUUAAGCUAAGUAGCUAACUAGCCAAAAUGAGUUGAAAACAAAUGUCGGUGGAGAGAGCCUUUGAAAGGGGAAAAGGCCCAAUGUUGAGACAGCAGAAAAGCCUAUGACUGUGAAGAAAAUGUGAAAUAGUGGGAAAUACCAGGAGUCCUACUUAAAAUACGGCUUUAUUGCGACAGGUGAUUCACAUGCUCCAGGCGCCCUCUACAUGUGGCUACAGGCUGUCUAAUAAGGCUAUGAAGUAUUCAAAACUGCUUCGACACAUAGAGGCAAAGCACCCUCCAUUAAAAGCCUGAACCAAAGUUCUUUGAAAAUCAAAACGUGAACAUGAAAAACAGAAUUCUUCAGGGCCACAACAGCAACAAGUGUAGCUGCAGUAAGAACACCGUACUUCGUUGCUAACCGUGUUGCUAAGGCUAAGAAGCCUUUCACUGUUGGUGAAGAGCUGAUGCUGCCUGCUGCUGCGUUAUGGGUCCGCGAUGAGGAGGGUAAAGUCUGCGGUUGUUGCUGCCUUUCAUCGCGUCACAGCCCUUUACACCACAGAUCGACUGCCCCGAUGCUGACUUAUAAGCUACAGUCUGGAUGUUUGCCCAGGCUGUUUUGAUUUUGCAGCGGGUGAGUGGCAGUCUCGACCCCACCUGACCCCCAGCCCGGCUUCUGCUGAUGUCAGCAUCUUGCAGCAGAUUGGAGCGUGCAAUUUUUAAACAAAGCCCAAGUCUCGGCCCCCCAAGGGGGGCUCAUCCACUCUAUUCCUUAAAGGGGCCGUACACUGAUUCAACUAGUGGCUGUUUUUGGCACACUUGGAUUUCUCCCUUGUUUUUUUCUUUCUUCACAACACAUGCUUCUCUUGUUCAUUUCUAUUUCACAUGGUUGACCCUGUGCACUUAACAGUUUUAAUAUCAGUUUGUUGGUAUGAGUUGUCACUACUUGUUGCAUAAGCAAAGAAUAAUCUUCUUGAGGCAAAACACAACAAGUGAAACCAGUGACAGCUUAUGGCUGGAUGCCGUGCCUGGCCAAGGAUAUCCUGCCAUGCCCUCUUCUUGUCUGAAUGAGCUCUCUGUGGAGGAGAAAGUGAGCAUUAUGAAACCUCCCCAUAAUUUGCCCUCUUAUCGCCACUGUCUGUCCUAUCUCCCAUCUUAGACACACUGACCCACACUCAUCACAUUCAUCAUAUUUAUUGGUCUUUUUUGACGUUACAGAGCCAGACCUUGGCCAGGACACCCCUAAAUAAAUGAAUGUUAAUGAGGUUAAAUAAGAGGAAAAUAAUUCAAUUUCUGCAUUUCAAUCUGUGGUCUGAAAUAGCCAGCAGCCUGCACAGGAACAGGUUAUUGAUCCAUGUUGUGACUGAGUUGCAGCAGUUUGAUAUGU